Molecule: ribosomal RNA, 480 nt
Filed under: uncultured bacterium
Lineage: Bacteria
Description: bacterial SSU rRNA
Rfam family: Bacterial small subunit ribosomal RNA
Source: RNAcentral
CCGCCUAAAGAGAAGCUUGCGGCUGAUUAGCUUGUUGGUAAGGUAAUGGCUUACCAAGGCGACGAUCAGUAUCUGGUUUGAGAGGACGAUCAGACACACUGGAACUGAGACACGGUCCAGACUCCUACGGGAGGCAGCAGUGGGGAAUUUUCCGCAAUGGGCGAAAGCCUGACGGAGCAAUACCGCGUGAGGGAUGAAUGCCUAUGGGUUGUAAACCUCUUUUUUCAGGGAGGAACAAAAUGACGUGUACCUGAAGAAUAAGCAUCGGCUAACUCCGUGCCAGCAGCCGCGGUAAGACGGAGGAUGCAAGUGUUAUCCGGAAUCACUGGGCGUAAAGCGUCUGUAGGUGGUUUAAUAAGUCAACUGUUAAAUCUUGAGGCUCAACCUCGAAACCGCAGUCGAAACUAUUAGACUAGAGUAUAGUAGGGGUAAAGGGAAUUUCCAGUGGAGCGGUGAAAUGCGUAGAGAUUGGAAAGAACA